This 443-nucleotide ribosomal RNA is filed under the name uncultured bacterium. RNAcentral's name for it is "partial 16S ribosomal RNA". It matches the Rfam family "Bacterial small subunit ribosomal RNA", at positions 338 to 795 of the family's 1533-position model. The record is from RNAcentral.
CCUACGGGAGGCAGCAGUGGGGAAUAUUGGGCAAUGGAGGAAACUCUGACCCAGCAACGCCGCGUGAAUGAUGAAGGUCUUCGGAUUGUAAAGUCCUUUUCUAAGGGAAGAAGAAAGUGACGGUACCUUAGGAAUAAGCCUCGGGUAACUACGUGCCAGCAGCCGCGGCAAUACGUAGGAGGCAAGCGUUAUCCGGAAUGACUGGGGGUAAAGGGUGCGUAGGUGGUUUGACAAGUUGGUAGCGUAACUCCGAGGCUUAACCUCGGCACUACUACCGAAACUGUUGGACUCGAGUGCAGGAGGAGCAAAUGGAAUGCGUGGUGUAGCGGUGGAAUGCGUAGAUAUUAGGAGGAACACCAGUGGCGAAGGCGAUUUGCUGGACUGUGACUGACACUGAGGCACGAAAGCGUGGGGAGCGAACAGGAUUAGAUACCCUAGUAGUC